UACGAAGGGGGCUAGCGUUGCUCGGAAUCACUGGGCGUAAAGCGCACGUAGGCGGAUUGCUAAGUCAGUGGUGAAAUCCUGGAGCUCAACUCCAGAACUGCCCUUGAUACUGGCGGUCUCGAGUCCGGGAGAGGUGAGUGGAACUGCGAGUGUAGAGGUGAAAUUCGUAGAUAUUCGCAAGAACACCAGUGGCGAAGGCGGCUCACUGGCCCGGUACUGACGCUGAGGUGCGAAAGCGUGGGGAGCAAACGGG
RNAcentral lists this ribosomal RNA (253 nucleotides) under uncultured bacterium. RNAcentral's name for it is "partial 16S ribosomal RNA". It matches the Rfam family "Bacterial small subunit ribosomal RNA", at positions 524 to 776 of the family's 1533-position model. The record is from RNAcentral.